RNAcentral lists this ribosomal RNA (253 nucleotides) under uncultured bacterium. Its description in RNAcentral is "partial 16S ribosomal RNA". It matches the Rfam family "Bacterial small subunit ribosomal RNA", at positions 524 to 776 of the family's 1533-position model. The record is from RNAcentral.
UACGUAGGGUGCGAGCGUUGUCCGGAUUUAUUGGGCGUAAAGAGCUCGUAGGCGGUUUGUCGCGUCGGCCGUGAGAACCUGCAGCUUAACUGUGGGCUUGCGGUCGAUACGGGCAGACUUGAGUUCGGUAGGGGAGACUGGAAUUCCUGGUGUAGCGGUGAAAUGCGCAGAUAUCAGGAGGAACACCAGUGGCGAAGGCGGGUCUCUGGGCCGAUACUGACGCUGAGGAGCGAAAGCGUGGGGAGCGAACAGG